GCGCCUGUAGCUCAGCUUGGAGUGCCAAAAGCACAUGCAAAUAGAGCGAAAGGUUCCUAACCUUUAGGCCCGGGGUUCGAAACCUGGGAAAAUGCGGCGAACUUACCUUCGGUCGUUCGCCUGGGAUUUUGCUGCGCAAAAUCAGAAAAGUUGGCGAAAGUCCUCGCAGGCGCG
Molecule: transfer RNA, 174 nt
Filed under: Candidatus Woesearchaeota archaeon
Lineage: Archaea; Nanobdellati; Candidatus Woesearchaeota
Description: tRNA-Arg
Source: RNAcentral